CUUCUUCUGUUCUAUUUUCUCACAAGGUAUCAGAGCCCCCGGUGAGUCUGAUUUGAAAUCUGAAACAAAAUCCUCAUAGGGAGGAACUUUUUCUCUUUUUUCGGUCACUUUCUGGGAGUCCAUGGCUGUCAUAGCCUAGCCUAGUGGAUUACCCAUCCCAGGAUCGGCCUCUACACUGACCUCCGGUGAAAGACUCCAGUACACACCCCUUCACGAGCGGUCAGCCCGCCGUCACACACGCCAGUGCGUGAGCCCUCUCCGGCAACCGUCUCUCGCCAACGCUUCUUCCCGUCGACUCGCCGACCUUAGACGACCUCAAUCACGCUGGUCCCGU
Molecule: unclassified non-coding RNA, 334 nt
Filed under: Hevea brasiliensis (rubber tree)
Lineage: Eukaryota; Viridiplantae; Streptophyta; Magnoliopsida; Malpighiales; Euphorbiaceae
Source: RNAcentral